This 519-nucleotide ribosomal RNA is filed under the name uncultured bacterium. RNAcentral describes it as "bacterial SSU rRNA". It matches the Rfam family "Bacterial small subunit ribosomal RNA", at positions 28 to 591 of the family's 1533-position model. The record is from RNAcentral.
AACGAACGCUGGCGGCAGGCCUAACACAUGCAAGUCGAACGGGCACCUUCGGGUGUCAGUGGCAGACGGGUGAGUAACGCGUGGGAACCUACCCAGUGGUACGGAAAAACUCGGGGAAACCCGAGCUAAUACCGUAUACGCCCUCAGGGGGAAAGAUUCAUCGCCAUUGGAUGGGCCCGCGUCGGAUUAGCUAGUUGGUGAGGUAACGGCUCACCAAGGCGACGAUCCGUAGCUGGUCUGAGAGGAUGAUCAGCCACACUGGGACUGAGACACGGCCCAGACUCCUACGGGAGGCAGCAGUGGGGAAUAUUGGACAAUGGGCGAAAGCCUGAUCCAGCCAUGCCGCGUGAGUGAAGAAGGCCCUAGGGUUGUAAAGCUCUUUCGGCGGGGAAGAUAAUGACGGUACCCGCAGAAGAAGCCCCGGCUAACUCCGUGCCAGCAGCCGCGGUAAUACGGAGGGGGCUAGUGUUGUUCGGAAUUACUGGGCGUAAAGCGCACGUAGGCGGACUGCUAAGUCGA